This 455-nucleotide long non-coding RNA is filed under the name Homo sapiens (human). RNAcentral describes it as "HSALNT0310375". The record is from RNAcentral. Lineage: Eukaryota; Metazoa; Chordata; Mammalia; Primates; Hominidae.
AGACGGGAGAAAGCCAGGCAUGAACUUGGCUUCUGCUAGCAGCUGCUCUGACAGGUUUAGGGCUGUUUGAUGAAGUGUGCAUCCCUUAUUUGCAUGCAUUUGGAAGAGGAGGAGGAAGAAGAAAAGAGGAGAAGGCAAAGGAGAGCCUGGGAUGGGUCCUGGAUCAUGGAGCGGGUGAGAACCUGUACUGGGAUCGUCAGUCCCCUUGUUGGUGAGCCUGGAGCUCGUGCGUCUGCCUCCCUGCUGGAUUGAGGGCCCCACACGCAGCGAGAUGCUCAAUAGACAUGUGAUCCUUUGAAAACGGAAGAGAAAAAGGAACAGACACAUCAGAGUGAAAAGAUGACUUUGACAAAAUUUAGAGAGAUCUGGCAAACAAUGGUUCGGGCGAGAGUCCUCAAACCCAUCAAAACAGACACACAAAGGCUGUGAUGAAGUCCUUCGUCCAAAGAGGAGCA